CAAAGUAAUAACUGUUACAGUUGAAAUAAAAUGUGCUUUCUGUUUUCCCUCAGUCUUUAUAUAAUUAAAAUUAAACUCUGGCAGAGCUGCAGUAUAAUUCAUUUCCAUUUAGCAAACAUUUACUGAGAUCUUUUUGCUGACCUCUUAUUACUCUGGUCUCCCUAGAGACUGGACCAGAUGUGACAGCCAAGGAAGUUAAAAUUCACUGUGGAAGGGGAUUAGGUGGGGGAAGGCAUCAUUCAAGAAAGAAUUUCACGUCAGCUCUUGGGGAAGGUGUUACACUUGGUUUGUGAAAGGAAGAGUCAUCCCAGGCAAGAGCUGAUCCCCAGGAAGCCAUUGUAACUGACCAAGUUCUAACGGUAAGGUCUUGUUUCUAGGGUAAUGGAGAUGGACACAUCCUAGGCAUGAUAACACGGAAAGACUCAGGCGUCCUGUAGAGCUGAUUAAAUAUUGGGAAGGAACGUUAAGAGAACUGUCCGGGUUAGUCCCAGGGAUGGGAUGUUUAGGUGAGUUGGAGAAUCAUGGUGCCCUGUUAGUGUAAAGGGGUGGUUAGAAAGAGAAGGGCAAUGGCUGCGGGUAGGAGGGAGCCCAGACACAGAAUGAUCAAAGGAGAGCCAGGAACCUACAGUUUCAUGGAAACAUUGGAAAAAUCAAGGUUUUGAGGUGGCCGGCAGAAUAGAGAAGUCAAGAAAUAGAAGUCUGAGUAGUUUUGUGAAAGAGAAAUAUAAAAUGUUGACCUCUGAGGAAUUCAGAACAGUGGUAGAAGUCGUCACCAGAUGACCAAGACCCUGAAAAGGGAGAAGAGUUUAUGCCAUUGCUGGAACUGUAUCCCAGGUGCUCAGUCACUUCAAGUAAUAAACCCCUUUGAAGGAAAUCCACUCCUCAACUGACUAGUGUUAUGUAACAACAUGCCAGGAUAUCAUUAAUACCUGUAGAUUUAAAAUGUACUUAUUUCUCCAUUGUAGUCCAAAAACAUUAUUUUUACAAACCAUUUGGAAAUAACAUUUUGAUGUUCUUUGAUUCUACUCUCUUGAAAUUUCACUUAUCCCUCUCUGAGAUUUAUUUCUAGGUCAUUGAUUCCCAAACUAGUAUUUUCUCUAGCUUAUUUUAAUGCUACCAGAGUUUCAAUUCAAACAUUUUCCAACAGUAGCAACUGAAAUAGCUUCAGAGACAUUUUCUGUUUUUCACAUCUACCUUACUUUUUCUUGGUUGAUUAUAUCUUUUCAAAAAGUCCCAGAUUGAUGGUACCUGAGAUAGCAGCCUGUAGUUGACAACACUAGCUUUUAAGAAUUGAUUAAGAAAUAUACUUUGGCCUUGUCCUGGUUCCUGAAGACAUCUUUCAGCCCUGAUGUCAAACCUUGUGCCAAACAAGGAAAAAGUCCAUUAGAACUGGAUUCGUAAGACCUGGGUUCUGUUCUCUUCUCCUAUGUGACUUUGGGGAGGUCAAUUUCUAGAAUUUCUCAGCUGUGAAGUGAAAGGAGUAUAUUAAAGGGUCAUUAGGUCGCUUUCAAAUAAUAAUUUUUAAAAUGUCCAGAAUCCAUGUCUGUACUGUUAUUCUUUCAUUUAUUAAUCAAAUCUACCACGUGGUCCAGUUCCACAUGAAAAGAUAUGACCAGGCUGUUCCUCAGGCCCUGUCUCUGCCUGCUCCCUGGAGGUGCUCCGUCCACUGCCUAUGAUGGGACAUCCUUGCCUCUCCCCUCACUGGCUGAUGGUCUUUCUAACCUUACCUAUAUUUUGGCACAGCUGGUAUCCUCAGCACCUACCACUCCACUACAGAUCAGGUGCUUAGGAAAUAUUUGAGGAUAGAGUAAAUGGGUUGUAUUGUUAUUAUUGUCCACCUUGGUGGUUCUCCACACUGACUGAGCAUCAGAAUCAGUUAUGAGUUUAGCAACAGUUGGUAUUUGAGUUCCUAGAAAUGGGCCUAUGUAUCCAUAUUUUAAAAUAUACCUACAAGUCAUACUCAUAUGAAAAGCACUGGUUUACUCUCUGUGAGUUCCUUAAGGUCAUAGAAUAAUGUUUCUGUCAUUUUGGUUUCUGGCCCUAUGGUGAUUUCUGGCAGAUAUUAGAUAUAUAGAAAAUGAGAGUAAGUGACUUUUAACUUUUGAGAAAAGUAAUAAAUUAUAACUGAGAAUAAAAGUCCCUUUCUUCUGUUAGCAGAUAUAACACUGUGGUCCUUGGAAGACUAAUCCAAGCGGAUUAUAGGAAAUUAUGUUUCCCAACCAAUAAAAUACUUAAGUGCCCAAACCACCAGUUCUGAUAAAAUUCAAGACUCUUUUUUAAUCUAACAAUUAGGGCUAGAACUACUUUGCUUUUUUGUUCAAGUUUUACAAUUUUGUGGGAAGUUGCUUGUUUUCAUUAUAUCACCUUACCAUUGACCUUGUUUCAUGUUGUUUCUCAAGAAGUCACAGUGCUGGAGAGGGAUAUAUUAUAUUGUUAUCUUAUCUGC
This 2446-nucleotide long non-coding RNA is filed under the name Marmota monax (woodchuck). The record is from RNAcentral. Lineage: Eukaryota; Metazoa; Chordata; Mammalia; Rodentia; Sciuridae.